GAAGGCUAUGAAUAUGAAGAUGUCAUACUCUGCCUUGCUAGUUUUGUUCCUUUCGCUUACCUUCUUCACCCCUUCGACGCUUGCUUGGUUGUGGCCAUGGUAUUCUCCUUUGCGACCUCCUUCUUGUCCUGAUGGUGGUUGUAGGAUACCACGGCUACUCCCUACUUAUAAGCCCCCACCAUUGUAUAGAUCUACUUCCAAGGGGAAACCACUCCCUACUUAUAAGCCCCCACCAUUGUAUAGAUCUACUUCCAAGGGGAAACCUUAAGAUCGAUCAAUGUCCCUAUAGUACUCUUUGCAGCAGCAGCAGCAGAAUGUGUCUACCUCAUCUUCAGUUAGUGUGCUUAUUAGAAUAAUUUAACUUUCUCAAAUGCAUUAGUGAAUAUCGUGAUGUGUCUUAAGCUUGUAUCUGGAUGUGGCUGAUUUAUAAUAAAAUUUAAAAGGAAAAAAAAAAUAACGGACAGGACACAUAUAAGGGUUCCUUAUAAUUUCACAAUCGUCCUUUGCUUGUUUUUCUGUUUUAUUCAUAUUUCUCUUAUUUUGUACUUGUUUAUUAUGGCUUUACAUUGGUAAUCAAUAAAGUAUUAUAUCUA
This 593-nucleotide long non-coding RNA is filed under the name Glycine max (soybean). RNAcentral describes it as "uncharacterized LOC100500367 (LOC100500367)". The record is from RNAcentral. Lineage: Eukaryota; Viridiplantae; Streptophyta; Magnoliopsida; Fabales; Fabaceae.